RNAcentral lists this long non-coding RNA (264 nucleotides) under Nicotiana benthamiana. Its description in RNAcentral is "long non-coding RNA (NBEN_LNC035480)". Lineage: Eukaryota; Viridiplantae; Streptophyta; Magnoliopsida; Solanales; Solanaceae. The record is from RNAcentral.
CACAUCCUGUAUGAAACUCUUUCCAUUUGGAUCUAGAAUCUCUAUUUCACUAGGUAACUUUUUUGACACAUUUACCUCAAUGAGCAUACGAGCAUAAGAUAUUCUGGAUUGUUUAGUAGUACACUCAUCAGCAAAUAUAGGUUUACCAAGGACACUGGCAAUUUUACUUAAAGACUUGCUGCCCCAACAAGACAUAGGUAAGUUAGGAAACUUUAUCCAUAGAGGAAUUUCUGAAGGGAAAGCUGCCUUGAAAUCAAAAUCCAC